GGGAAGGGAACUGAGAAGAAAAAGAAUCAGCAGGCCAUGAAGGGAAUAGGACCCAGGCUUGAGAGCUGCAGAAGAGAAAGCAACAAUCGUGGAAGCGUCUGGAAAGAGCAGCCCCAGGACUGCCCCCGUUGGGUCUAAGGGUCUCUUCACCAGAGACAGAGGCCAAGAAACUGGCUCCUGGCCCCGCAGGGAACCCACCCAGAUUAGGGCUUCAACUCGGUAAAAGGUGACCCUCCUGCAAUAUGUGGAUGACCUUUUAAUCACAGCCGAGACUGAGGAAGACUGUCUCAGGGGCAUAAAGCAGCUGCUGAUAGAACUGAGCAAAUUGGGUCAUCGAGUCUCACCCAAGAAAGCCCAAACCUGUCAAUGUAAGGUGAGCUACCUAGGGUACCUGUUGGAGGAUGGGAGGCACUGGUUAUGAGAGGCCAAGAAAGGAAUCAUUUUUCUUUCCCUGACCCAAAGACCCUCAAACAAGUGCAAGAAAGGCUGGAUGACCCUUUUUCUGGGGCGAGGGAGAACUCCAGACAUUUGAUGCCAUUAAGAGGGCUCUUUUGGAAGCACCUGUGCUAGGACUGCCUGACGUCAGCAAGUCCUUUCAUCUCUUUGUGGCUGAGAACCUCCAAGACCUGACACGCGAGAACUAGCCUCCUUCUCCUAUGCUUGUCAAAGCUGGCUUCAUUAACAGACAGAUCUUCCCAGCAGUGCAGUGGUGAUAAAAGCUCACUGGAUACAACAAGCCCAGGACAGAGGUCAUCAUGGUUACCACCACUGCUAGGAGAAUCCACUUUGCUAUGGGCACAGCCCUUAACACCAAAAAGGGGAACAUUGAGAACCCCUGGGAGGGUGUAAUUGUUACCCAUAGACUGUACCUAUGGCUUUUAAACGACCUCGCCUCCCUCCUUGGAAAAAUCUUGAACAGUACGCUGAGUCUGAUCUGAAAGUCAUUUCACUCUACCAAAUGUGCAUAGUAUCCUGCCUAGUUACCUCUGUGCAAAUUCUGCCCCAAUUGUUUACAAGGUUACUCUCUGUUAGAGUCUGCUUAAGUCUCUCCUUGAAGUGGGAUGACCCUGACUUGUUGGAAUGAUUAAACUCUUCUUGCUUUUGCAU
Non-coding RNA from Rattus norvegicus (Norway rat), 1107 nucleotides. The record is from RefSeq and is a predicted model, not a curated record. NCBI's taxonomy places the organism in Eukaryota, Metazoa, Chordata, Mammalia, Rodentia, Muridae.